AUACGUAGGGGGCGAGCGUUGUCCGGAAUUACUGGGCGUAAAGGGUGCGUAGGCGGCUACUUAAGUCAGAUGUGAAAUACCACGGCUCAACUGUGGGGGUGCAUUUGAAACUGGGUGGCUUGAGUGCAGGAGAGGAAAGUGGAAUUCCUAGUGUAGCGGUGAAAUGCGUAGAGAUUAGGAGGAACACCAGUGGCGAAGGCGGCUUUCUGGACUGUAACUGACGCUGAGGCCCGAAAGCGUGGGGAGCGAACAGGAUUAGAUACCCUGGUAGUCCACGCUGUAAACGAUGGAUACUAGGUGUAGGGGGUAUCGACCCCCUCUGUGCCGGAGUUAACGCAAUAAGUAUCCCGCCUGGGGAGUACGGCCGCAAGGCUGAA
Molecule: ribosomal RNA, 377 nt
Filed under: uncultured bacterium
Lineage: Bacteria
Description: bacterial SSU rRNA
Rfam family: Bacterial small subunit ribosomal RNA
Source: RNAcentral